This 388-nucleotide transfer-messenger RNA is filed under the name Saprospiraceae. RNAcentral's name for it is "JADJVK01 sp016710625 Standard tmRNA". It matches the Rfam family "transfer-messenger RNA". Rfam says of the family: Bacterial tmRNA, also known as 10Sa RNA or SsrA, is named for its dual tRNA and mRNA-like properties. Its role is to liberate the mRNA from a stalled ribosome. Lineage: Bacteria; Pseudomonadati; Bacteroidota; Saprospiria; Saprospirales. RNAcentral also lists the same sequence under 1 other name. The record is from RNAcentral.
GGGGAUGACCGGAAUCGACAGGAUUGACCUUCGGUUGGUAAGCAUGCCGAGCCAUGAAGCUAUACCUCGUUAAAAUAUGCUUCAAACAACAACCGGCGACGUUCAGUACGCUAUGGCUGCCUAGUUCAAGGAAUUAGUAGGCCUUUGCAUGUUGCAUCCGUUCUUCGUGAACUCGUAAUUUGUCUGUAGUUACAGAUGCCAUGUAUCAACCUUUACAGAUUGCUUCUAUUGUCUGCUCGAACAAUAGACUAAGAUAAGAGCUAAGGUAUUCGUUUGAGUGUGUUUCCCGACUUUACGGAUACACGAAAAAAGCAAUAGGAAAAUAAGCAUGUAGAAAGCCCUCAGGAGCUUUCGCUGGACGAGGGUUCGAAUCCCUCCAUCUCCACUU